Molecule: ribosomal RNA, 670 nt
Filed under: uncultured bacterium
Lineage: Bacteria
Description: bacterial SSU rRNA
Rfam family: Bacterial small subunit ribosomal RNA
Source: RNAcentral
AGAGUUUGAUCAUGGCUCAGAUUGAACGCUGGCGGCAGGCCUAACACAUGCAAGUCGAGCGGUAGCGCAGAGAGCUUGCUCUCGGGUGACGAGCGGCGGACGGGUGAGUAAUGUCUGGGAAACUGCCUGAUGGAGGGGGAUAACUACUGGAAACGGUAGCUAAUACCGCAUAACGUCGCAAGACCAAAGUGGGGGACCUUCGGGCCUCAUGCCAUCAGAUGUGCCCAGAUGGGAUUAGCUAGUAGGUGGGGUAAUGGCUCACCUAGGCGACGAUCCCUAGCUGGUCUGAGAGGAUGACCAGCCACACUGGAACUGAGACACGGUCCAGACUCCUACGGGAGGCAGCAGUGGGGAAUAUUGCACAAUGGGCGCAAGCCUGAUGCAGCCAUGCCGCGUGUAUGAAGAAGGCCUUCGGGUUGUAAAGUACUUUCAGCGAGGAGGAAGGCAUUAAGGUUAAUAACCUUAAUGAUUGACGUUACUCGCAGAAGAAGCACCGGCUAACUCCGUGCCAGCAGCCGCGGUAAUACGGAGGGUGCAAGCGUUAAUCGGAAUUACUGGGCGUAAAGCGCACGCAGGCGGUCUGUUAAGUCAGAUGUGAAAUCCCCGGGCUCAACCUGGGAACUGCAUUUGAAACUGGCAGGCUUGAGUCCUGUAGAGGGGGGUAGAAUUC